AGCGUAGUAGUGUAGUGGUCAACACGCCGAGUUGUGGCCUCGGAAACGAAGGUUCGACUCCUUCCUACUCGACCA
RNAcentral lists this transfer RNA (75 nucleotides) under marine sediment metagenome. RNAcentral describes it as "tRNA-His". It matches the Rfam family "tRNA". From Rfam's summary of the family: Transfer RNA (tRNA) molecules are approximately 80 nucleotides in length. Their secondary structure includes four short double-helical elements and three loops (D, anti-codon, and T loops). The record is from RNAcentral.